UGGGGAAUAUUGGACAAUGGGCGAAAGCCUGAUCCAGCCAUGCCGCGUGUGUGAAGAAGGUCUUCGGAUUGUAAAGCACUUUAAGUUGGGAGGAAGGGCAGUAAGCGAAUACCUUGCUGUUUUGACGUUACCGACAGAAUAAGCACCGGCUAACUCUGUGCCAGCAGCCGCGGUAAUACAGAGGGUGCAAGCGUUAAUCGGAAUUACUGGGCGUAAAGCGCGCGUAGGUGGUUCGUUAAGUUGAAUGUGAAAGCCCCGGGCUCAACCUGGGAACUGCAUCCAAAACUGGCGAGCUGGAGUAGGGCAGAGGGUGGUGGAAUUUCCUGUGUAGCGGUGAAAUGCGUAGAUAUAGGAGGGAACACCAGUGGCGAAGGCGACCACCUGGGCUCAUACUGACACUGGGGUGCGAAAGCGUGGGGAGCAAACAGG
Molecule: ribosomal RNA, 429 nt
Filed under: Pseudomonadota bacterium
Lineage: Bacteria; Pseudomonadati; Pseudomonadota
Description: Proteobacteria bacterium partial 16S ribosomal RNA
Rfam family: Bacterial small subunit ribosomal RNA
Source: RNAcentral